GACGAACGCUGGCGGCGUGCCUAAUACAUGCAAGUAGAACGCUGAAGCUUGGUGCUUGCACCGAGCGGAUGAGUUGCGAACGGGUGAGUAACGCGUAGGUAACCUGCCUGGUAGCGGGGGAUAACUAUUGGAAACGAUAGCUAAUACCGCAUAAUAGUAGAUGUUGCAUGACAUUUGCUUAAAUGGUGCAAUUGCAUCACUACCAGAUGGACCUGCGUUGUAUUAGCUAGUUGGUGAGGUAACGGCUCACCAAGGCAACGAUACAUAGCCGACCUGAGAGGGUGAUCGGCCACACUGGGACUGAGACACGGCCCAGGCUCCUACGGGAGGCAGCAGUAGGGAAACUUCGGCAAUGGACGGAAGUCUGACCGAGCAACGCCGCGUGAGGGGAGAAGGGUUUCGGAUCGUAAAGCUCUGUUGUAAGAGAAGAACGAGUGGGAGAGUGGAAAGUUCACACUGUGACGGUAUCUUACCAGAAAGGGACGGCUAACUACGUG
This 497-nucleotide ribosomal RNA is filed under the name uncultured bacterium. RNAcentral's name for it is "partial 16S ribosomal RNA". It matches the Rfam family "Bacterial small subunit ribosomal RNA", at positions 28 to 507 of the family's 1533-position model. The record is from RNAcentral.